Molecule: long non-coding RNA, 141 nt
Organism: Bufo bufo (common toad)
Lineage: Eukaryota; Metazoa; Chordata; Amphibia; Anura; Bufonidae
Exons: 3
Source: RefSeq, a predicted model, not a curated record
AAUUUCUGUUUUCUGUCAUAAUUAUCACGGUCCCUCUCGUGACAGAGAUGCGAAGAUCGGAUAGACUUGCUGCACGUUAGGCUAUCUGACAGGUCUCUCUGUUUUCCUCUUUGUAUGUUGUUGUUUGGCAGGAUCUCACCU